Molecule: long non-coding RNA, 256 nt
Filed under: Gallus gallus (chicken)
Lineage: Eukaryota; Metazoa; Chordata; Aves; Galliformes; Phasianidae
Description: lncRNA (ENSGALG00010028952.1)
Source: RNAcentral
GAUGGAGAGCAGCAGCGGGGGGAUCCCCCUUUGGCACGGCCACCCACCGCUACGGGACUGCAACAAGAAGCUGCACCCUGCCGUGGUCAGCAUGGCUCUGUGUGCCAGCUGUGUGCUGCUGGGAAUCACCCGGGCGCUUACGGGUGGGAGAGUGGAAAUCAUCCAACAUCUGCAGGGAUAGCACAAGGCAGGCUCAGUGUGACAGCUGUGUCAUUGUGCAGCAGACAGAUGCUGAGCAGAGCACAGCAGGGCCAGG